RNAcentral lists this ribosomal RNA (497 nucleotides) under uncultured bacterium. RNAcentral describes it as "partial 16S ribosomal RNA". It matches the Rfam family "Bacterial small subunit ribosomal RNA", at positions 28 to 507 of the family's 1533-position model. The record is from RNAcentral.
GAUGAACGCUGGCGGCGUGCCUAAUACAUGCAAGUCGAGCGAACAGACGAGGAGCUUGCUCCUCUGACGUUAGCGGCGGACGGGUGAGUAACACGUGGAUAACCUACCUAUAAGACUGGGAUAACUUCGGGAAACCGGAGCUAAUACCGGAUAAUAUAUUGAACCGCAUGGUUCAAUAGUGAAAGACGGUUUUGCUGUCACUUAUAGAUGGAUCCGCGCCGCAUUAGCUAGUUGGUAAGGUAACGGCUUACCAAGGCAACGAUGCGUAGCCGACCUGAGAGGGUGAUCGGCCACACUAGAACUGAGACACGGUCCAGACUCCUAAGGGAGGCAGGAGUAGGGAAUCUUCCGGAAUGGGCGAAAGCCUGACGGAGCAACGCCGCGUGAGUGAUGAAGGUCUUCGGAUCGUAAAACUCUGUUAUUAGGGAAGAACAAAUGUGUAAGUAACUAUGCACGUCUUGACGGUACCUAAUCAGAAAGCCACGGCUAACUACGUG